AGAACUUGCUGAGGAAGCGACUUCACCCGGAAGUGGUGAUGAACAAGCUUCAUUUCCACCACCGCCAACACAACCACCUCCCAACCUUGACAGAUUUAUGAGAUUUGUUAGAAAUACAACAUAAAUUAUGAUGUAACUUGUAUAUUGUCACGUCUUCUUUUAGUUUUUUUCCUUUUAACGGUGGUAUAGUACCAUGUUGUGCUCAUUCCAUUGGGGGAAGGAAGACUAAGAAAGAUAUGCCAUUUUGGUCA
RNAcentral lists this long non-coding RNA (251 nucleotides) under Nicotiana benthamiana. RNAcentral's name for it is "long non-coding RNA (NBEN_LNC003989)". Lineage: Eukaryota; Viridiplantae; Streptophyta; Magnoliopsida; Solanales; Solanaceae. The record is from RNAcentral.